Bombyx mori (domestic silkworm) is the source of this 67-nucleotide non-coding RNA. The record is from Rfam. NCBI's taxonomy places the organism in Eukaryota, Metazoa, Arthropoda, Insecta, Lepidoptera, Bombycidae.
AAAACAUUCAGACCGUCGGUCUACCGAGCAAUAUCACCAGCUCGGUGGAAGAUCUUCCCUUUGUCGU